This 21-nucleotide unclassified non-coding RNA is filed under the name Chlamydomonas reinhardtii. RNAcentral's name for it is "small RNA Cre_4053". Lineage: Eukaryota; Viridiplantae; Chlorophyta; Chlorophyceae; Chlamydomonadales; Chlamydomonadaceae. The record is from RNAcentral.
UUGUCGAGACCCAGGGCGGUU